AAAUUGAAGAGUUUGAUCAUGGCUCAGAUUGAACGCUGGCGGCAGGCCUAACACAUGCAAGUCGGACGGUAGCACAGAGAGCUUGCUCUCGGGUGACGAGUGGCGGACGGGUGAGUAAUGUCUGGGGAUCUGCCCGAUAGAGGGGGAUAACCACUGGAAACGGUGGCUAAUACCGCAUAACGUCGCAAGACCAAAGAGGGGGACCUUCGGGCCUCUCACUAUCGGAUGAACCCAGAUGGGAUUAGCUAGUAGGCGGGGUAAUGGCCCACCUAGGCGACGAUCCCUAGCUGGUCUGAGAGGAUGACCAGCCACACUGGAACUGAGACACGGUCCAGACUCCUACGGGAGGCAGCAGUGGGGAAUAUUGCACAAUGGGCGCAAGCCUGAUGCAGCCAUGCCGCGUGUAUGAAGAAGGCCUUCGGGUUGUAAAGUACUUUCAGCGGGGAGGAAGGCGACGGGGUUAAUAACUCUGUCGAUUGACGUUACCCGCAGAAGAAGCACCGGCUAACUCCGUGCCAGCAGCCGCGGUAAUACGGAGGGUGCAAGCGUUAAUCGGAAUUACUGGGC
Molecule: ribosomal RNA, 567 nt
Filed under: Pantoea agglomerans
Lineage: Bacteria; Pseudomonadati; Pseudomonadota; Gammaproteobacteria; Enterobacterales; Erwiniaceae
Description: bacterial SSU rRNA
Rfam family: Bacterial small subunit ribosomal RNA
Source: RNAcentral